GAUGAACGCUGCCGGCGUGCCUAAUACAUGCAAGUCGAGCGAACGGACGAGAAGCUUGCUUCUCUGAUGUUAGCGGCGGACGGGUGAGUAACACGUGGAUAACCUACCUAUAAGACUGGGAUAACUUCGGGAAACCGUAGCUAAUACCGGAUAAUAUUUUGAACCGCAUGGUUCAAAAGUGAAAGACGGUCUUGCUGUCACUUAUAGAUGGAUCCGCGCUGCAUUAGCUAGUUGGUAAGGUAACGGCUUACCAAGGCAACGAUGCAUAGCCGACCUGAGAGGGUGAUCGGCCACACUGGAACUGAGACACGGUCCAGACUCCUACGGGAGGCAGCAGUAGGGAAUCUUCCGCAAUGGGCGAAAGCCUGACGGAGCAACGCCGCGUGAGUGAUGAAGGUCUUCGGAUCGUAAAACUCUGUUAUUAGGGAAGAACAUAUGUGUAAGUAACUGUGCACAUCUUGACGGUACCUAAUCAGAAAGCCACGGCUAACUACGUG
Molecule: ribosomal RNA, 497 nt
Filed under: uncultured bacterium
Lineage: Bacteria
Description: partial 16S ribosomal RNA
Rfam family: Bacterial small subunit ribosomal RNA
Source: RNAcentral